Molecule: non-coding RNA, 73 nt
Organism: Phrynosoma platyrhinos (Desert horned lizard)
Lineage: Eukaryota; Metazoa; Chordata; Lepidosauria; Squamata; Phrynosomatidae
Source: the annotation of a GenBank genome assembly
GGCCAGCAUGGUGUAGUGGUUGGAGCAUUGGAUUGUGACUUUGGAGACCAGGGUUGGAUUCCCUGCUUGGCCA